Molecule: ribosomal RNA, 409 nt
Filed under: uncultured eukaryote
Lineage: Eukaryota
Description: bacterial SSU rRNA
Rfam family: Eukaryotic small subunit ribosomal RNA
Source: RNAcentral
AAUUGCGUUAACGAACGAGUACCUUUAAUUAUUAAUUAGUUAAAUAUAUAGUAAUAUAUUAACUUUAAAAAGAAAGAUAGUAUUUUAUUUUUCUUUUCUCUGACUUCUUAAAAUAACAAUUGGUGAUUAACCAAAGUAAGUUAAAGGCAAUAACAGGUCUGUGAUGCCCUUUAGAUGUUCUGGGCUGCACGCGCGUUACACUAGAAAAUAUCAAUUAAGUUUUAUAUAUCCAAACAAUUAUAUUUUAUAUAUUUGUUUUGAUAUGUCCUUGAUUGAAAAAUUUGGGUAAACUUGAUAACUAUUUUCGUGAUGGGGAUUGAUAAUUGUAAUUAUUUAUCAUGAACGAGGAAUACCUAGUAAAACGCAAGUCAUUAACUUGCAUUGAUUACGUCCCUGCCCUUUGUACACA